This 253-nucleotide ribosomal RNA is filed under the name uncultured prokaryote. RNAcentral describes it as "partial 16S ribosomal RNA". It matches the Rfam family "Bacterial small subunit ribosomal RNA", at positions 524 to 776 of the family's 1533-position model. The record is from RNAcentral.
GACAGGGGGUGCAAACGUUGCUCGGAAUCACUGGGCGUAAAGGGCGUGUAGGCGGGAAGUAAAGUCAGAUGAGAAAUCCCUGGGCUCAACCCAGGAACUGCAUUUGAAACUCACUUUCUUGAGUACCGGAGAGGAAGGUGGAAUACCUGGUGUAGAGGUGAAAUUCGUAGAUAUCAGGUGGAACACCAGUGGCGAAGGCGGCCUUCUGGACGGUAACUGACGCUGAGACGCGAAAGCGUGGGGAGCAAACAGG